Long non-coding RNA from Oncorhynchus tshawytscha (Chinook salmon), 981 nucleotides. The record is from Ensembl. NCBI's taxonomy places the organism in Eukaryota, Metazoa, Chordata, Actinopteri, Salmoniformes, Salmonidae.
GUAGAGAGAGAGACAGUAGAGAGAGAGACAGUAGAGAGAGAGACAGUAGAGAGAGACAGUAGAGAGAGAGAGAAGAGAGAGAGAGAGACACAGUAGAGAGAGAGAGGAAGAGAGAGAGAGAGAGACAGUAGAGAGAGACACACAGUAGAGAGAGACACAGUAGAGAGAGAGAGGAAGAGAGAGAGAGAGACAGUAGAGAGAGACACACAGUAGAGAGAGACACACAGUAGAGAGAGAGAGACAGUAGAGAGAGAGAGAGAGACAGUAGAGAGAGACACAGUAGAGAGAGAGAGGAAGAGAGAGAGAGAGAGACAGUAGAGAGAGACACACAGUAGAGAGAGACACACAGUAGAGAGAGACACACAGUAGAGAGAGAGAGACACACAGUAGAGAGAGACACACAGUAGAGAGAGAGAGGAAGAGAGAGAGAGAGAGACAGUAGAGAGAGAGAGGAAGAGAGAGAGAGAGAGACAGUAGAGAGAGACACACAGUAGAGAGAGACACACAGUAGAGAGAGAGAGAGACACACAGUAGAGAGAGACACACAGUAGAGAGAGACACACAGUAGAGAGAGACACACAGUAGAGAGAGAGAGAGACACACAGUAGAGAGAGACACACAGUAGAGAGAGACACACAGAAGAGAGAGAGAGAGACAGUAGAGAGAGAGAGAGAGACACACAGUAGAGAGAGACACAGUAGAGAGAGAGAGGAAGAGAGGGGUGGGAUAGAGAGAGGGGAAGAGAGAGGGAGGGAGGGAGCAGAAGAAAGGGGGAGUGCUGCUGUUAUGAAUCUCUGAUUCGGUAGUAUUGGAAAUCAAUGUCAAUAUCAGGCCAAUAAAGCGUUGGGACAUUGAUAUUGAGGGUGUCAGUCUUUUCAGUCAGGCAGUGGGGCUGGCUACUCUUGGGUCCUCUUUACUCCGAUGGCGUAUCAUAUAGGCUGCUGCCGACAACGCUAGGACACCAUAGGUAGCCAGGACAAA